GGGUUGUGAGGUUAAGCGACUAAGCGUACACGGUGGAUGCCCUGGCAGUCAGAGGCGAUGAAGGGCGUGCUAAUCUGCGAUAAGCGCCGGUAAGGUGAUAUGAACCGUUAUAACCGGCGAUUUCCGAAUGGGGAAACCCAGUGUGACUCGUCACACUAUCAUUAACUGAAUCCAUAGGUUAAUGAGGCGAACCGGGGGAACUGAAACAUCUAAGUACCCCGAGGAAAAGAAAUCAACCGAGAUUCCCCCA
This 250-nucleotide ribosomal RNA is filed under the name Salmonella enterica. RNAcentral's name for it is "partial 23S ribosomal RNA". It matches the Rfam family "Bacterial large subunit ribosomal RNA", at positions 1 to 242 of the family's 2925-position model. RNAcentral also lists the same sequence under 2 other names. Lineage: Bacteria; Pseudomonadati; Pseudomonadota; Gammaproteobacteria; Enterobacterales; Enterobacteriaceae. The record is from RNAcentral.